AGGAUGAACGCUAGCGGUUGGCUUAACACAUGCAAGUCGAGCGGCAGCAUUCUCGGGUAACUGAGAGAUGGCGAGCGGCGCACGGGUGAGUAACGCGUAGGCAACUUACCUCUUACAGGAGGAUAGCCCGGCGAAAGCUGGAUUAAUACUUCGGAUAUAUUGUUAAGGCAUCUUAAUAAUAUUAAAGAUUUAUCGGUAAGAGAUAGGCCUGCGUCCCAUUAGCUAGUUGGUAAGGUAAAAGCUUACCAAGGCAAUAAUGGGUAGGGGGUUUGAAAGGAUGAUCCUCCACACUGGCACUGAGACACGGGCCAGACUCCUACGGGAGGCAGCAGUGAGGAAUAUUGCGCAAUGGGCGAAAGCCUGACGCAGCCAAACCGCGUGCAGGAAGACGGUCGUAAGAUUGUAAACUGCUUUAGUAUCCGAGGAACAAUCAGAACGAGUUUUUGAUUUGACAGUAGGAUACGAACAAGCACCGGCUAACUCCGUGCCAGCAGCCGCGGUAAUACGGAGGGGUGCAGGGCGUUAUNCCGGAUUUACUAGGGUUUAAAGGGUCUGUAGGCUGUAUAUUAAGUCAGUGGUGAAAUGUCUGAGCUUAACUGAGGACUUGCCAUUGAAACUGGUAUACUUGAGUAUGGUUGCUGUCGGCGGAAUGUAUUAUGUAGCGGUGAAAUGCAUAGAUAUGAUACAGAACACCAAUUGCGAAAGCAGCUGACAAAACCAGCACUGACGCUGAUAGACGAAAGCGUGGGGAGCGAACAGGAUUAGAUACCCUGGUAGUCCACGCAGUAAACUAUGGGCACUAGUUUUUGGCGAUAGACAGUCAGAGACAAAGCGAAAGCGUUAAGUGCCCCACCUGGGGAUUACGUUCGCAAGAAUGAAACUCAAAGGAAUUGACGGGGGCCCGCACAAGCGGAGGAACAUGUGGUUUAAUUCGAUGAUACGCGAGGAACCUUACCUGGGCUUAAAUGCUAGGCGUCUUCGGGCGUAGUCUGUAGAAAUACAGCUUAAACUUGCAAGGUGCUGCAUGGUUGUCGUCAGCUCGUGCCGUGAGGUGUCGGGUUAAGUCCCAUAACGAGCGCAACCCACAUUCUUAGUUGCCAUCAAAUAAGUUGGGCACUCUAGGAAAACUGCCAUCGUAAGAUGUGAGGAAGGUGUGGAUGACGUCAAAUCAGCACGGCCCUUAUGUCCAGGGCUACACACGUGUUACAAUGGUCGGUACAAAAGGCAGCGACCUGGUAACAGAGAGCUAAUCUUAAAAACCGGCCUCAGUUCGGAUUGGAGUCUGCAAUUCGACUCCAUGAAGUCGGAUUCGCUAGUAACCGCGUAUCAGCAAUGACGCGGUGAAUACGUUCCCGGGCCUUGUACACACCGCCCGUCAAGCCAUGGAAGCUGGGUGCACACUGAAGUCCGUGACCGUUCAGGAGCGGCCGAAGGUGAAACUAUGACUGGGGCUAAGUCGUAA
This 1462-nucleotide ribosomal RNA is filed under the name uncultured organism. RNAcentral's name for it is "bacterial SSU rRNA". It matches the Rfam family "Bacterial small subunit ribosomal RNA". The record is from RNAcentral.